GCCUGGGUGGCUCAGCGGUUGAGUGUUUGACUUUGACUCAGGACCUGAUCCCAGGGUCUGGGAUCGAGUCCCACAUCGGGCG
Molecule: transfer RNA, 82 nt
Filed under: Canis lupus familiaris (dog)
Lineage: Eukaryota; Metazoa; Chordata; Mammalia; Carnivora; Canidae
Also listed under: 1 other name
Rfam family: tRNA
About the family: Transfer RNA (tRNA) molecules are approximately 80 nucleotides in length. Their secondary structure includes four short double-helical elements and three loops (D, anti-codon, and T loops).
Source: Rfam by way of RNAcentral